AAUAUUUAGCGUCUUGUGAAAUCCCCCGGCUUAACCGGGGAAUUGCAGGGCGAACUGGUAUUCUUGAGGCAAGUAGGGGUGCAUGGAACUCUUGGUGGAGCGGUGGAAUGCGUAGAUAUCAAGAGGAACGCCGAUGGUGAAGACAGUGCACUGGGCUUGUCCUGACGCUGAGGUGCGAAAGCGUGGGGAGCGAACGGGAUUAGAUACCCCGGUAGUCCACGCCGUAAACGAUGCCUACUAGGUCGUGGUUGUUCUGACACACUCACGGCCGAAGCAAAAGUGUUUAGUAGGCCGCCUGGGGAGUACGGUCGCAAGGCUAAAACUCAAAGGAAUUGACGGGGGCUCACACAAGCGGUGGAGCAUGUGGAUUAAUUCGAAGCAACGCGCAGAACCUUACCUGGGUUUGACAUGUAUGGAUGCCUGCUGUGAAAACAGUUAGGUUGCCUUCGGGUGAAACUUACACAGGUGCUGCAUGGCUGUCGUCAGCUCGUGUCGUGAGAUGUCGGGUUAAGUCCUUUAACGAGCGAAACCCUUGCCGUUAGUUGCCAGCGGGUCAUGCCGGGGACUCUAACGGGACUGCCGGUGUCAAACCGGAGGAAGGUGGGGAUGACGUCAAGUCCUCAUGGCCUUUAUGCCCAGGGCCUCACACGUGCUACAAUGGGUGCUACAGAGCGACGCAAAACCGCGAGGUGGAGCUAAUCGCAAAAAAGCAUCCUCCCUAGGGUGCAGGCUGGCAAUUCGCCUGCAUGAAGUUGGAAUCGCUAG
This 765-nucleotide ribosomal RNA is filed under the name uncultured organism. RNAcentral's name for it is "bacterial SSU rRNA". It matches the Rfam family "Bacterial small subunit ribosomal RNA", at positions 579 to 1338 of the family's 1533-position model. The record is from RNAcentral.